RNAcentral lists this ribosomal RNA (424 nucleotides) under uncultured bacterium. Its description in RNAcentral is "partial 16S ribosomal RNA". It matches the Rfam family "Bacterial small subunit ribosomal RNA", at positions 354 to 796 of the family's 1533-position model. The record is from RNAcentral.
GUUAGGAAAUUGGACAAUGGGCGCAAGCCUGAUCCAGCCAUGCCGCGUGAGUGAUGAAGGCCUUCGGGUUGUAAAGCUCUUUAGUCCACGAAUAUAAUGACUGUAGUGGAAGAAUAAGCCCCGGCUAACUUCGUGCCAGCAGCCGCGGUAAUACGAAGGGGGCGAGCGUUAUUCGGAAUCACUGGGCGUAAAGCGUGCGUAGGCUGUUUUGUAAGUCAGAAGUGAAAGCCCAGGGCUUAACCCUGGAAUUGCUUUUGAAACUACAAGACUCGAAUUCGGGAGAGGAUAGCGGAAUUGUCAGUGUAGCAGUGAAAUGCGUAGAUAUUGACAGGAACACCAGUGGCGCAAGCGGCUAUCUGGACCGAUAUUGACGCUGAGGCACGAAAGCGUGGGGAGCAAACAGGAUUAGAUACCCGAGUAGUCC